Molecule: ribosomal RNA, 2532 nt
Filed under: Salmonella enterica subsp. enterica serovar 4,[5],12:r:-
Lineage: Bacteria; Pseudomonadati; Pseudomonadota; Gammaproteobacteria; Enterobacterales; Enterobacteriaceae
Description: bacterial LSU rRNA
Rfam family: Bacterial large subunit ribosomal RNA
Source: RNAcentral
GAAAAGAACCCCGGCGAGGGGAGUGAAAAAGAACCUGAAACCGUGUACGUACAAGCAGUGGGAGCCCCACCACUAAGCCAGUGGUGAACUCCACAUACGCAUCCUUUGCUGAGGAUACGGUUAACGGAGCGAAAGCGACGUUCAACCGCAAAAGAAGCAGAGGGGGCUUAGUGGUGGGGUGACUGCGUACCUUUUGUAUAAUGGGUCAGCGACUUAUAUUCUGUAGCAAGGUUAACCGUAUAGGGGAGCCGUAGGGAAACCGAGUCUUAACCGGGCGUUAAGUUGCAGGGUAUAGACCCGAAACCCGGUGAUCUAGCCAUGGGCAGGUUGAAGGUUGGGUAACACUAACUGGAGGACCGAACCGACUAAUGUUGAAAAAUUAGCGGAUGACCUGUGGCUGGGGGUGAAAGGCCAAUCAAACCGGGAGAUAGCUGGUUCUCCCCGAAAGCUAUUUAGGUAGCGCCUCGUGAAUUCAUCUCCGGGGGUAGAGCACUGUUUCGGCUAGGGGGCCAUCCCGGCUUACCAACCCGAUGCAAACUGCGAAUACCGGAGAAUGUUAUCACGGGAGACACACGGCGGGUGCUAACGUCCGUCGUGAAGAGGGAAACAACCCAGACCGCCAGCUAAGGUCCCAAAGUCAUGGUUAAGUGGGAAACGAUGUGGGAAGGCCCAGACAGCCAGGAUGUUGGCUUAGAAGCAGCCAUCAUUUAAAGAAAGCGUAAUAGCUCACUGGUCGAGUCGGCCUGCGCGGAAGAUGUAACGGGGCUAAACCAUGCACCGAAGCUGCGGCAGCGACGCUGAUGCGUUGUUGGGUAGGGGAGCGUUCUGUAAGCCUGUGAAGGUGGCCUGUGAGGGUUGCUGGAGGUAUCAGAAGUGCGAAUGCUGACAUAAGUAACGAUAAAGCGGGUGAAAAGCCCGCUCGCCGGAAGACCAAGGGUUCCUGUCCAACGUUAAUCGGGGCAGGGUGAGUCGACCCCUAAGGCGAGGCCGAAAGGCGUAGUCGAUGGGAAACGGGUUAAUAUUCCCGUACUUGGUGUUACUGCGAAGGGGGGACGGAGAAGGCUAUGUUGGCCGGGCGACGGUUGUCCCGGUUUAAGCGUGUAGGUGUGUGUUCCAGGUAAAUCCGGUUCACUUUAACACUGAGGCGUGAUGACGAGGCACUACGGUGCUGAAGCAACAAAUGCCCUGCUUCCAGGAAAAGCCUCUAAGCAUCAGGUAACAUCAAAUCGUACCCCAAACCGACACAGGUGGUCAGGUAGAGAAUACCAAGGCGCUUGAGAGAACUCGGGUGAAGGAACUAGGCAAAAUGGUGCCGUAACUUCGGGAGAAGGCACGCUGACACGUAGGUGAAGUGAUUUACUCACGGAGCUGAAGUCAGUCGAAGAUACCAGCUGGCUGCAACUGUUUAUUAAAAACACAGCACUGUGCAAACACGAAAGUGGACGUAUACGGUGUGACGCCUGCCCGGUGCCGGAAGGUUAAUUGAUGGGGUCAGCGCAAGCGAAGCUCCUGAUCGAAGCCCCGGUAAACGGCGGCCGUAACUAUAACGGUCCUAAGGUAGCGAAAUUCCUUGUCGGGUAAGUUCCGACCUGCACGAAUGGCGUAAUGAUGGCCAGGCUGUCUCCACCCGAGACUCAGUGAAAUUGAACUCGCUGUGAAGAUGCAGUGUACCCGCGGCAAGACGGAAAGACCCCGUGAACCUUUACUAUAGCUUGACACUGAACAUUGAGCCUUGAUGUGUAGGAUAGGUGGGAGGCUUUGAAGCGUGGACGCCAGUCUGCGUGGAGCCGACCUUGAAAUACCACCCUUUAAUGUUUGAUGUUCUAACGUGGACCCGUUAUCCGGGUUGCGGACAGUGUCUGGUGGGUAGUUUGACUGGGGCGGUCUCCUCCUAAAGAGUAACGGAGGAGCACGAAGGUUGGCUAAUCCUGGUCGGACAUCAGGAGGUUAGUGCAAUGGCAUAAGCCAGCUUGACUGCGAGCGUGACGGCGCGAGCAGGUGCGAAAGCAGGUCAUAGUGAUCCGGUGGUUCUGAAUGGAAGGGCCAUCGCUCAACGGAUAAAAGGUACUCCGGGGAUAACAGGCUGAUACCGCCCAAGAGUUCAUAUCGACGGCGGUGUUUGGCACCUCGAUGUCGGCUCAUCACAUCCUGGGGCUGAAGUAGGUCCCAAGGGUAUGGCUGUUCGCCAUUUAAAGUGGUACGCGAGCUGGGUUUAGAACGUCGUGAGACAGUUCGGUCCCUAUCUGCCGUGGGCGCUGGAGAACUGAGGGGGGCUGCUCCUAGUACGAGAGGACCGGAGUGGACGCAUCACUGGUGUUCGGGUUGUCAUGCCAAUGGCACUGCCCGGUAGCUAAAUGCGGAAGAGAUAAGUGCUGAAAGCAUCUAAGCACGAAACUUGCCCCGAGAUGAGUUCUCCCUGAGACUUAGAGUCUCCUGAAGGAACGUUGAAGACGACGACGUUGAUAGGCCGGGUGUGUAAGCGCAGCGAUGCGUUGAGCUAACCGGUACUAAUGAACCGUGAGGCUUAACCUU